AUUGAAGAGCUGGCUACCAGAGGGGAAGGAUCUCUUCUGGAGAUCACCUCUAUUGGUGUUUUGUGGUGAGCCCAGCUGAAGGGUGUUCCACUUGGGCUCUGUAUCAUGCACUGGCUAUGCAGGUACAGCAGUGCAAAAAGCCCUGCAAACCUGGGGAGAAUCAAAGCAGGAGAGAGGCUGUGGUGUGGAGGAAGGAAAAGUACGCUUUGAAGCAGAGGAUGCUCUGCUGGCACUGCCUAUCAAAUCCACUGCCACUGUGUUCCUGCUCUCUCCUCUGGCAGCUUGCUGUCUCUCAAGGGUCGGUAAGUAAGAGUGCACUGGCUUAGGGAGCUUCUGCUUCCCUUAUGGGGAUUAUCUAAAAUGGAUGCAUGUGUGUAUGCUGAAUAAAAUCCAUAACUCUCUGCACUGCUCUGAGUGUACAUUUUGCUUGCCUCUGCUCCUGAGACGUCCUGCCUCUCAGAUCCAAACGUACCCUGAAACAUAACUGGUGAUGAGGAUGGGAUCCGACUGCCGAGAUGUCAGGGGGUUGGGGGUAGGCACUGAGAGGUUUGGUUCUUGUUGUUGUUUUGGGUUUUGUUUUGUUGGUGGUUUUUUUUUUUUUUCUUUCCUUCUCACUUUCUUUCUCUCCCUUCUUUAAGACAGGGAUUAGGUGAUGGGAAGGUCUGCCCCAGGAUUGCACUGCUAUAGGGUUGGGUACCUUUAAAGAGUCUCUUAUUGACGUGGCAAAUCUGCAGCUUGUGUUAAGUUUUUGUAUGUUUGUUAAUUGUUACUUUUCUGGCUGCAGCAGUGUGUGUGUGUGUUACAAUGCAUGAAAGCAAUUCACACAUUCCAGACAUGGAGCAGCUGGUUGAGGAAACUGCGGCGGGGACUUGUUGAAAACAGUAGUAAGUGAUGAAUUGGAGAAGUGAUUGAAAGUGUGGAACCCUGGGAUCUGUGAAAAAUAACAACUGAAGCUCCCAUCUUGCUGCGGGAUAUUGGUUAUGGCUCUCCCUGAAGGAAUUUGGCGUGCAACUGUGCCUUGAGGGAGCUGCAGAUUCUGUCACCGAGCAAUUUGAGGAGGGCCUGACUGCCCACUGCCAUUAAUAUCUUGAAUGAACUACAGGCCUGAAUCGCAUUUGGUAGAAGACAAAUUCACAGUGUAUGUUCCAGAAAACGACACUGUGAAGACUCAAGUUGUUAUUUACAGAAGUCAUCCCUCCUGACUAGACAACGACAGAAAGGUGAAAAAUGCAGUGAUACCUGGGUCAGGGAUCAGAGACACCUGGAUGGUGGAGAUAAACCAAACCACCAACAAUGAAUCUCCAGCUGAAGCUGGGAGUGAAACUGGUAAGAUGGACAGUUGUAAGGGUGGGUGGGAAAGCUUUAAAAAGAAAAAAGUUGUGAAGAUAUAUAAGUGAUGUGAGCACUUGUAAUAAAGGACUUGGAUCGUUCACAUCUGAGUCCAUGCAUCAGAUGUUGCAAAUGCUGCCCAAUGUGGGGCAGAUCUUUGGCUGGAACUCAAGAACAAAUGGUCUCUGGAAGAGUGGGCAAGCUACUUAUGAUGAUUACAAGUAUGUAGUGAAGCUGUGCAGGGAGAGACAUUGUGGUGCUGGAGCAGGCCCAAAGGGCAACAGGGUUUGUGAAGGGCUUGGAGAAUAUGUCCUACGAGGAGAGACUGAAGGGACUGGAGCUGUUUAGUCGGGGGAAGAGUGGCUGAGGGGAGACCUUAUUGCUCUCUUCCAAUAUCUGAAAGGUGCUCACAGCGAGAGUCGGGUUGCUCCCUUAUCACUGGUGACGGGAUGAGGGGAAAUGGCCUUAAGUUGCUUCAGGGUAAGUUUAGGUUGGAUAUCAGGAAACACUUAUUUACAGAAAGGGUUGUUAAGCACUGGAAUGGGCUCCCCAGGGGGUGGUUGAGACACCAUUACUGGGAGUGUGCUUCGGAUGUGAUGCUCAGGGACAUGAUUUAGCAGAGGGUGGUUAGAGUUAGGGUAAUAUGGUUAGGUUGUGGUUGGACUUGAUGAUCUUUAAGGUCUUUUCCAACCUGAGCAAUCCUAUGAUUUUAUGAAAUCAACCAGAAGCUGAGCAAGCCUGGGCCAGCAGCACCACCCAACUGAACUUCGGAGAGAUUGUUUGGCAUGUGCCUGCAACGUUCUGCAGGACUGAAGGAGAGCAGUUGGGAACUAUACGGAGUUCAAUAAUGAAGAAGCAACAAGUAAAUCUUGAAGUAUUAUGGUUAGUUUUAACAUUUCAGAAUCAUCUUUGUAGGAAUCAAAUGUUUUUUCUGCAUUAGAAUUGGAUAAUAUUUUAUUUCAUGGUCUCUGCUCCAUAGUUCUUUGUGAGAGUCUUUCCUGCAUUAGAAACAGUGUGACCAGCAGGAGCAGGGAGGUGAUCAUCCCCCUCUACUCAGCACUGGUGAGGCUGCACCUCAAGUACUGUGUUCAGUUUUGGACUCCUCACUACAAGAAAGACAUUGAGGCCCUGGAACGUGUCCAGAGAAGGGCAACCAAACUGGUGAGGGGUCUGGAGCACAAGUCUUAUGAGGAGCGGCUGAGGGAGCUGGGAUUGUUCAGUCUGGAGAAGAGGAGGCUCAGAGGAGACCUCACUGCACUCUACAACUUCCUGAAGGGAGGUUGUGGUGAAGAGGGAUUUGGCCUCUUCUCCCUGGCAACGAGCAGGACACGGGGCAAUGGCCGCAAGUUGUAUCAGAGGAGGUUUAGGUUGGGCAUAAGGAAGAACUUUUUCUCUCAGAGAGUGGUCAGGCACUGGAAUGGCUGCCCAGGGAGGUGGUGGAGUUGCCGUCCCUGGCAGUGUUCAAGAGGCGUCUGGAUGAUGUGCUGCGUGCUAUGGUUUAGUGCUUGUGGUGGCAAUGGUGAUGAGGAGACGGUUGGACUGGAUGAUCUUAUAGGUCGUUUCCAACCUUGUAAUUCUAUGAUUCUAUGAUUCUACUUUACUUGGGGGGGUGUCCUGAUGGUUUACAUCACUUAUCCUCUGGAUAAACCUUCCCUAGAAAUGCAUGCUCAGUAAAUAAGAGUAUAAUGUAUGCAUGUAUAUUUUAUUAUACUCACUGUGAGAAUAUAUUGCAUGAGAUUGAUCAAACCAGAGAACAAGUCAUGGCAUGGCCAAGGAAGCACUGGAAGAGACAUCAGAAGGCCUGGCAUCAUCCCCGUCCACCCCCCCCAUGCUAUUUGCUUAACGAGGACUUUGAAGAAAAUCACUGUAUCAAUAUGACAAGAAGAACACUGAGACAUCUUGAAAACAACAGGAUGGCUACUGACUGACAUCAGAUAACACACCGAUUAACAAAUGUAAACUUUGAUAAGAUUUGAACCUGGAGUACCCAGCUUAUGGAGAAACAGAGGAGAGGGAUGGGAAAGGGGGGGAAACAAGGUACAGAAAGCAGUCACUGAGUCCUUAGGGGUGCUCCUGCUUGUGGGACGCCAGCCAUUGCAAUCGCGAAUAAAAUCUGCUCUUAUCAGAGAUACCGUCCUGACAAAAAUUAUUUGGGUAUUUCUAACUGUGUAUCUACUUAAGCAUUAGCAACUUUUCCUAAUCGGAUAAGUGUCGUGGUUUUGUGAUUUUUUUUUUUUUUGGUUAUCGGUAUUCCACAUCAUAACAUCAUGUGGGGCACUGAGAGUUUAACUGAUAAUGCUCAAGUUCUGGGUACCUGUUCAGAAGAGCAGAACUACAUUCCCCAGGGGGCUUUGCGGUCACAGAGGAGAUACAGCUCCUGGCAAGGUCAUCUGAUGCCAUCUUCUUCAUUGGCUCUUCUUCAUCAGCUCUCCUCCCAUCUCCCUGCUGCUCAACUGGACUGCGCAUCUCACCUCAGCGUUGUGGUGAGGCCUGUCCACCUUUUGGACGUUCUCUCAUUAGAUUUUGAUUUAUUAGCUUCAAUUCUGAUUAUAUUGUAUUAUGGUGUGUUAUCUUGCAUUCCGAUACCAUAUUUAGUAAAUUAGAUUGUUCCACCUCA
Molecule: long non-coding RNA, 3946 nt
Organism: Tympanuchus pallidicinctus (lesser prairie-chicken)
Lineage: Eukaryota; Metazoa; Chordata; Aves; Galliformes; Phasianidae
Exons: 2
Source: RefSeq, a predicted model, not a curated record